RNAcentral lists this transfer RNA (74 nucleotides) under Flavobacteriales bacterium. RNAcentral's name for it is "tRNA-Asp". It matches the Rfam family "tRNA". From Rfam's summary of the family: Transfer RNA (tRNA) molecules are approximately 80 nucleotides in length. The record is from RNAcentral. Lineage: Bacteria; Pseudomonadati; Bacteroidota; Flavobacteriia; Flavobacteriales.
GGCCUGGUAGUUCAGUUGGUUAGAAUACCUGCCUGUCACGCAGGGGGUCGCGAGUUCGAGUCUCGUCCGGACCG